Molecule: ribosomal RNA, 433 nt
Filed under: Micromonospora sp.
Lineage: Bacteria; Bacillati; Actinomycetota; Actinomycetes; Micromonosporales; Micromonosporaceae
Description: bacterial SSU rRNA
Rfam family: Bacterial small subunit ribosomal RNA
Source: RNAcentral
GGACGAACGCUGGCGGCGUGCUUAACACAUGCAAGUCGAGCGGAAAGGCCCUUCGGGGUACUCGAGCGGCGAACGGGUGAGUAACACGUGAGCAACCUGCCCCAAGCUUUGGGAUAACCCCGGGAAACCGGGGCUAAUACCGGAUAUUACUUGGCCUUGCAUGAGGUUGGGUGGAAAGUUUUUCGGCUUGGGAUGGGCUCGCGGCCUAUCAGCUUGUUGGUGGGGUAAUGGCCUACCAAGGCGACGACGGGUAGCCGGCCUGAGAGGGCGACCGGCCACACUGGGACUGAGACACGGCCCAGACUCCUACGGGAGGCAGCAGUGGGGAAUAUUGCACAAUGGGCGGAAGCCUGAUGCAGCGACGCCGCGUGAGGGAUGACGGCCUUCGGGUUGUAAACCUCUUUCAGCAGGGACGAAGCGUAAGUGACGGUAC